This 459-nucleotide ribosomal RNA is filed under the name uncultured bacterium. RNAcentral describes it as "partial 16S ribosomal RNA". It matches the Rfam family "Bacterial small subunit ribosomal RNA", at positions 338 to 795 of the family's 1533-position model. The record is from RNAcentral.
CCUACGGGUGGCAGCAGUGAGGAAUAUUGGUCAAUGGGCGGGAGCCUGAACCAGCCAAGUCGCGUGAAGGAAGAAGGUACUUAGUAUUGUAAACUUCUUUUGUCGGGGAACAAAGUCGGAGACGCGUCUCCGGAUGAGUGUACCCGAAGAAAAAGCAUCGGCUAACUCCGUGCCAGCAGCCGCGGUAAUACGGAGGUUGCGAGCGUUCUCCGGAUUUAUUGGGUUAAAGGGGUGGGCAGGGGGGGGAUAAAGUCAGCGGUAAAAUGUCGGGGCCAAACCCCGGACGGCCGUUGAAACUGGUUUUCUAGAGUGGGAGAGAAGUAUGCGGAAGUCGUGGUGUAGCGGUGAAAUGCAUAGAUAUCACGAAGAACUCCGAUUGCGAAGGCAGCAUACCGGCUCCAUACUGACGCUGAGGCACGAAAGCGUGGGGAUCGAACAGGAUUAGAUACCCUGGUAGUC